This 39176-nucleotide long non-coding RNA is filed under the name Musa acuminata (dwarf banana). RNAcentral's name for it is "long non-coding RNA (MACU_LNC000320)". The record is from RNAcentral. Lineage: Eukaryota; Viridiplantae; Streptophyta; Magnoliopsida; Zingiberales; Musaceae.
CCUGGGACUUGCAUUGGUAAUAGCCUCCUGAAGUUGGUGACCUGGUCACGUUUUUUCUUCUUUUGCUGUACCUUUUCCGUGAGAUCUUGCCAUAAGUAACAUGAUAAAAAAGUGUUUUCUAGUUUCACAAUGUGCUUAGUUCACAAGUUUCCUGUAUAACUUUGUUGGUGUUCCAAACAAAAAUAUGUUGAUUUUCUUGGAACCUGUGAGAUGAUAGCCUACUAGGGAGUUACUACAAACUAACUAACGUGGAAUUUAGCCUGAGUUUUGCAAAGCUGUGCGUUACUUAUUGCCCAUAUGUUGGAUGUAUUUACUGGUUAGCUUGUGGUAUUGAUACGAGGAAAACCUGCUGCACCAGUAAAUAAUACUUUGUACGAGUCUUUUGCAUUGACCUGUUGGCUCUUUUUUGAAAUCGACAAUAUUGAAACUUAAGAUUCUCCAUGCUUUGUUAUGCCUUUGCUUAUAUUGCUUUUUUCUUGAAAUUAUAGAGCUUUUUUGUAAUAAUGUGCACUCUCAUUUAUAAUCCAUGUGCAUCAGUUAGCCUUGGUUGUAUCUGAAACUCUGUUUUCCAAGCAGAGUGAAGGUUCAGCUGUCUGGAUUCCGGCCCCUGGACGGGAUAUUUCUGCUCUUCAGGCUAGCUCCUUCUACAACAUUCCUUCUCAGGGACAACAUAUGACUUUUGCACCCACACAAGCUGGCCAUGGUGCCUUCAGCGGAGUCUACCCUCCGACGCCAACUGUCUCAGCUCCUGUUCAUCCAUUGCUCCAGCAGUCCCAGACUCUCGCUGGAGCUGUCGAAAUGUUGGGGCCCUCUGGUGGUGUUUAUCAACAGCCACAACGUGCACAGAUGAAUUGGACCAAUAACUAUUGAAGGAAACCAAACCUAAGUUAUGGCAGCCGCAGCUCAGUGAUCAAGGAUACUUGGGGUUCCGAUCAGAAGAUGUUGCGAAUGUGGCGUAGAGUUGCCUGAUCGGAAAGACUGGAUGUAUAUCUAUAUCUAAAAGACGGCCGUCCUGAAUGAGAAGGUUUCAGAAUUUGGAAUUGAUAGACUUUAAUAGUUCAAGCUGAUGUUGACCAUUUUCAUGUCAAUUGUCCAGUCCGCUCAAAUUCCACGUCCUGGGUUGUCUGCUACUCAUUCUUUGUCAUUUGCUUGUUUCUUUUCGAUGGAUGAAAAUUUGACAUCCAUUUGCGCCGCCACCACCACCACCACCACUACUGAUGAGGUGAUAGAAAGACCUUAGAAGGUAAGAAUUUACCCUAGUGGGUUGUCAUUUCUCCACUGCCUUUGUCUGUAAAGUAAAAAUUGAUACUGAGAAACUGUAGCACAACAGUUGUAUUUGGUGUAAUCGAGAUAGCAGCCGCACAUCCUCUUUGUUACAUGUCGUGUUCUCCUUUCAGCUCACCAGUGUUUGGGAGAAACUAAAGAUGGAUUCAUGCGGGCUCAUAUCCUCGUCUUUGUAAUUCAAUAGAAUAUGAGACAUGCCACAAUUCCAGGUUUGUUUCUGGCAAAGCAUCAACCAAGUGUUCUUAUCCUUUUUCUGGUAAUAUGAUCAUUAUUUUUUAUUCUUUUUCUGGCAAUAUGAUCAUUAUUGUCAAUUAAUUGGAGUUCAACAUUGAAUGGUUAGUCGGGACAUGUGUCAAAUGGAUAUGUCAUGUCAACACAAUAUUGAAGGAGCAUAUUUCGUCAUAAACAUUUAUCAUUUGCAUUCUAUGCUGGUUGUUCACGGUGAACUUCUGAUAUAGUCUCUUAUUUAGGGUCUAAACUUUCUAAAAUAAGACGAAACACUUGGUUCUUCUUAGAAAGGGAAAUAAGAUCGAGCAUACGAAUUACCCUUAUUUGAUUCUUUUUAUUCUAAUAAUUUGAUCGUCAACGCACUUGAAGCUUCUUAUCAUUAAAGGAAAAUAAGAUGGAACACAUGAACUCGUUAUAUGUGCUCUUUGUUUACAAUAAAUAAAUUUUAAUUUUUGUUUACAACAAAUGAAUUUUAAUUUGAUGGCUAGAGGGAUCUUGUCGGAACGUUGUUCUUGCAAAAAUGAACCAAGUGGGAUAAAAACUUUUUGACCCAAAAAAUUGUAUUCUUUUCCUCGUCAACUUUUCCAUGUUGUAGAUGAUUGCCUCCCCAGCAUUCGACAGAGGAUGGAGUUGUAGUUCCAGUCCUGAAUCACCCGCGACGCCUAUCCCGGGUGACCUGGACUGUCACAGGGAGCGGUGCGUGAGGGAGAUGUCACCCAGGAAAUGGUUUCUCGGGUGGCGGUUUGAACGAGAGACGACGUGCGAAGCUUGUGGGGUACCGAACCAUCACUCAACUUGGAUGAGCGACAUAAGUAGGCGCGCUGUUGGUUGCUUCUCGUUGGCCGUGACGCCCAAUCUUAUGAUGCAUAUACGGCCAUGGCAUCGCAACCUUAGCCCUAUCGUUUCUUUCACCGCUCCAUGGAGAUUCGCAGCGUCGAAGACGAGCAGCAGCCGUCGGCCGUCACCACAAAGGGAGGGCCCCCCAACGCCGCACUGCAUCAAGGGAACGAUGGCGUCGUUGAGAUCGAGAUUGAACAGGAUGAUUCGGGCACUUGUGGCUAUGGCCCUCUUCCUAUAUUUCUCAAGGUACCUCUCCCCAGCCUGCAAUAACGUGUUAUCGAUCCUCCAAAGCAGGUCAUUUCGCUGUAAUAUUUACAAUUUUUGCCUGAGAUAGGACAACAUCAUAGCAGUGAGACAUUUUUCGUUAAUAUGUCUUAUGAACUAUCCUGCAUUUAAGCUAAAUGUUCCCUUGCAACCUUUGCUUUUUUGUAGCACAUGCACACACAUGCAGAUAUAUUCUUAUAAAGUUAAUGAUUUCCAUAUUUAUUGCUUUAAAUUUACUUAACAUUAGGUGACAUCCCGGUUUAGUCUCAUGUCGAAAGUCAGACGAAGUUUGAGUUAGUCUACAAAAUUAGAUGUCUUUCACUGCUAACUUGGCUGGUGUAUUGGGACGUAGAUUAUCAUAGCGUGAGGGGUCUAAGUAGAUAAGAGCUACUUCUUCACAGCUUGAAGUAAUUGUGACUUGUAACAUCUUACUUUAGUUCUACAUUGACAGUCGAGGAGAUUUGAGUUGACAUAUGAUGAUUCAAGUUUAUCAGGUUAAUAGGUUAAUUAUUAUGUCAGGUUAGAUUGUGACAAUAUCCCUUAAAGCUUGAGCUAACCUAAAAGCUUAGGCAUCUGCCAUUGUUGUUAAACUUUCAUUGAAUGCCGUAUAAUUACUAGUUGAAACUCUAAUUUACAUUAACAAUAAAAAAAACACUAUAAUACUAAAAGUAUCGAGGUACCUUAUAUAUAUAUAUAUGUAUAUAUAUAUAUAUGUAUAUAUAUAUAUAUAUGUAUAUAUAUAUAUGUAUAUAUAUGUAUGUAUAUAUAUAUAUGUAUAUAUAUAUANNNNNNNNNNNNNNNNNNNNAUAUAUAUGUAUAUAUAUAUAUAUGUAUAUAUAUAUAUAUAUGUAUAUAUAUAUAUGUAUAUAUAUGUAUGUAUAUAUAUAUAUGUAUAUAUAUAUAUAUACAUAUGUAUAUAUACAUAUAUAUAUGUAUAUAUACAUAUAUAUAUAUGUAUAUAUAUAUAUAUAUAUACACACACAUUCCAAUUCAAAUGAAUUAAUACUAAAUUGUUAACCUAGUUCUUCUGCAUGGAUGUUAACAUUGGUGAUUUUUGUGGAGGGUUUUAAUAUUUUGAGGAUAUAAAUAUUUAUCCUGUAUGCUGAAAUUUAUAAUGGCAAAUAUGACAUUUCGAAAGUCACCAUUCUAUAACAAGUAAGUGAUCAUGGUUGGGGAAAUCCAAAACUGAUUGUGGAAGGGUGUCAGAUAUGGACCACAGUUGACAGGUUCAUCAUGUGAAAUAUGUUCCUCCUGCUUGCUUUUUGUCUGCUGCAGUUUGAGGAUGUGGAGUAUAAAAUUAAUGGGAGUUCAAGGAACCCUGUGAAAGCUACAAUUGCCGGUGUAGCCUCCUGGCUGAGGAUGGAGCAAGGAAACUGCAAGCACAUACUGAAAGGCAUAACUGGAAGUGUUGGCCCUGGUCAAAUCCUUGCUAUGAUGGGGCCUUCAGGAAGUGGCAAGACCACCCUGCUAAAAUUACUUGGUGGUAGGUUGGAUGGGGACAUCAGAGGGAAGGUUACUUACAAUGACACUCCUUAUGGCCCCUCUCUCAAGAGGAGGUGAACAACUGCUCUUUCUACAUGUUUCAAUUCUUUUGUUAUUGAAUUACAUUGAUUAAGAGUUGGAAUUUCCCUUGUUUCGAUGUGUACAUCAGUAGGAUUGUCCACUUUAUGAUUUCAUUUUACCAAAUGCUGAUCUUGUUGCAAUUGCUUGACAGGAUUGGAUUUGUUGCACAGGAUGAUGUGCUGUUUCCUCAACUUACAGUGGAGGAAACCCUUGUCUUUGCAGCAUUCUUGAGGCUUCCCACAGAGAUGAGUCGCAAGGACAAGUACUUGAGGGCGGAUAGGAUCAUAAAAGAGCUAAGUUUAGAGAGGUCAGUAUCAGUGUUUGCUAUGGUCACAUAUAUGUGCAAGCAGCCCAUAUGAAUUAUAUGUUCCUAUUGGUUAGAACAAUCUUGUUAAUUUUGAAUCAGGUUCUGCUCUAACUUGAGACUUUGUAAGUGAACUUUUUCCCCUACAUUUUUGUAGUUUAAAUGCUUGUGGAUUUGCUUGGGUGUCUCUUUGCAUGUGAAGCAUGUGUGUGCUUAAUCAUUUGGUUAAGCUAGUUUUAGUAAGUUUGAGGGAGAUUUCAAUGUACUGUAUUUGACCUCGGCUAAAUCUAUAACGAAGUGUUGGUUGUACUUGCAAAAUCGGAAUCGACUUAGAUCAUUAGCUUGUGUUGGUGGUAAUUUGUCAUAUUAAUACUCUAUCCCCACCUCUGCAAAUGAAACCAUGUAGCCGGUGCUCCAAGUAUAAUAUUAGUCUCAACUUUUAGAUUCAUUCUUUAGUUUUGACAUGCAAAUUAUUCUUUCUGAUUAUUUUGGUUUUAUUCACAAAACAAUGUAUACAUUCAUGAUAAUCUAUAUUUAUUAGCGGAAAUGUCUUUUUCAAGUUUCUAGAUAGAUUUUCCAAGAUAUUGAUGCUUCCACUACUACCUUGAUACACUAAAUCUCAUUAGGAUCAUGUGAUCAUGGUCCAUGCUAUUGAAAUGUUUGGCCCUCAUUUCUUGUCAUCAAAAUGAUUUGAUUCUAUUUAUACUAGAUAUAUAAGGUGAUUAGAAAAAAGGUUAAAUAAGUUAAAAAACUGUUUUGAUGCACUCAUUAUUUAUCUCUGUGAAUUAGAUGCCGACACACCAGAGUGGGUGGUGUUCUUGUGAAAGGCAUUUCAGGAGGAGAAAGAAAAAGGACCAGUAUAGGUUAUGAGAUCCUGGUCGAUCCUUCAUUGUUGUUUCUUGAUGAACCCACUUCAGGCCUGGAUUCCACCUCUGCAAGCAAGCUCCUUAUAAUUCUUGGAAACCUGGCAAAGGUGAUAAAGUCAACUGAUUCUCAUAACUGUCUUUCUGAGGAAAGCUUAUAUGAACUGUUUUCGCUAAUAUCAGUUAAUUAAUUACGGGGAGAGUAAUAUGUUGUUUCACUUCUGGAAAAAUGCUUAUUAUACACGGAAAAAUCAGACAUCUGUGGAGAAAAUAACACCUGAAGAAUCUGCAAAAAAUGUAUGUUUGAGGGUUUUUUUCCCUCCAAUUUCAGGUAGGGCGAACAGUUAUCAUGACCAUCCAUCAGCCAUCUAGCAGGAUAUUCUACAUGUUUGAUAAGCUUUUGUUGAUAUCUGAGGGUCAAACCAUAUACCAUGGUAAUGCCAGGGAGUCCAUGCAUUAUUUCUCGUCCCUGGGUUUUGUGCCUGAGAUGGCCAUGAGUCCUGCAGAGUUCCUGCUAGAUAUAGCGACCGGACAUGUCAAAGACAUCAGCAUCCCUGAAACUUUGCAAGGUUCAACAAAUAUGCAGGAGAUCGAGGUGAAAGUAAUUAAGGUGAAAAAGAAUCUCAAGAAAUCUAUUAAACCAUUGUGUUCUCUCAUUGCUCUUUAACUAAGAUACUUGUAGUUUAGUCAAGAGCAAGUUCAUUUUGCAAGAACUUGCAGAAAGCUCAAUGUUCUGUUUCUUUUUUCUAAGAAAAAAUUAUUAUGCCAGUUUAAAAGUGAGCAUUUUGAUUUCUACUGCAAGUUAUCUCUCAUUCCAACACCAUAUUUAUUUGUUUCCUUCAUUGCCUCUUACAGUUUCUGCAAUGCAAAUAUAAGACAGAUUUGGAACCUAGAGAAAAAGAAGGGAACUAUCAUUCAGUAAAAGCACCCAUGAAGCUUCAACUAUCAAUUCAAAUUAAAAAGGAUUGGACUUCGAAUUGGGUGGAGCAGUUCAUUAUUCUAUCAAAGAGGACAUUUAGGGAGAGAAGCAGAGAUUACUUAGACAAGCUAAGAUUUUCACAAACAGUUGGAGUGGCUGUUUUAUUAGGCCUUCUAUGGUGGAAAUCUAAUAUAGGAACUGAAGCUCAAUUAAGAGAUCAGGUGGUUAACAAAACACAGACAGUUCAACUUCUGCUGUAAGAUGUAUAAAUAUUAUUUGCAGCACAACAUUAUUAUCACAAAUGUUGGCGGAGUAAUUUAAAAUAUCUUUUGACCCCUCUAUUCCAUUUGAGUCUUAAGCAUUUUCUUCCAUGAUGCAGGUUGGCCUAAUGUUCUAUAUCUGUAUAUUCUGGACAUCAUCAUCAUUAAUUGGAGCAGUAUAUGUCUUCCCUUUCGAAAAGUCCUACUUGGUGAAAGAAAGAAAAGCUGAUAUGUAUAGAUUUAGUGUUUAUUAUGUGAGUAGCACUCUCUGUGACAUGAUCAUCAAUAUUGCGUAUCCCAUCAUUUUUAUGGUCAUCCUGUACUUCAUGGUUGACCUCAGAAGAACGACGCCUUGUUUUCUCUUGACGUCCUUUGCAAUUAUGUUGAUCGUCAUCACGAGCCAGGUAAUUUAAGAUCAUGAAGCCAUUUAUUUUGGUAUAAGGCAGUAUGUUUAUAAUUUACUUAUUUAGACAAAUGAAAACAAACAUCUUGUGCUAGCACUUGUAGAUGAAGUGUUCAAAAAGAAGAAAAAAAAGACUUGGGUACCAAAAAGUUAUAUUUCAUUACUUCAACCACCCAACUUGAGAUCUAAGACAUAUAUUUCAUAAUAGAACUUGAUGUGAAUUUGGAUAUUUUAAGGUCACCAUCUUUCAAAAUUCACAAGUAAGAAUUUUGCUAUAUUAUGGUAGAUUCUUACGUUGGUUCUUCAGCAGGAAAUUUCUGGAGAAAAAUACCUGAAUAACUUCUCUUUCUAUAUUUAUUUUUCUUUUUCUUUCCAGUAAUUCUUAACAUUUCCAACAUUCACAAAUCUGUCUAAUUCCAGGGAAUGGGGGAGUUAAUUGGUGCAGCAAUGUUAAGUGUCAAACGAGCUGGGUUGAUGGCAUCAUUGGUUCUAAUGUUGGUUCUCCUCACUGGUGGAUAUUAUGUGCAGGUAUCUAUGUCAGUUACUAGAGGGCUAAUCAAGAUCCGAAGAAAGUUGAUAUGGCUGAAACUCAAAGUGAUUAUUUAUUUGAGGAUUAAAGAAAAACUCAAUCUGAUUUAUGUUUUUAAUAAAUUAUCUAUCGUAUCAACUUCUGAAACAUUAGCAAAUUCACAACUUCUCUCGAGGAGCUUCCUAGCGAUGAUAACAACUGAAUUUGCUUGUCUUGCAGCAUAUUCCCAAGUUCAUGAUAUGGCUGAAGCACAUAUCAUUCAUUCACUAUGGCUUUAGACUCGUGCUGAAAGCACAAUACUCACAACACAUAGUGUAUGAUUGCCAAAGUAAAGGUGGAUGUAAACACUUACAGAGCUCACCAACAUUUGAUACUAUAGACUUGAGCAGCCGAUUACAGGAAGUCUGGAUUCUCUUGGCCAUGGCUCUUUCUUUCCGAAUACUUGCUUAUUUUGCUCUCCAGAGAAGAAUAAACAUGACUCCUUUUUAAGUUUGGAGUUUUGUAAAAGAGUGCAAUGCUCGCAAUUCUUGGUGUAUGACCACCAAAAUAAAUGUGGACGUAAACACUUAUGGAGCUCACCAAUGUUUGAUACUAUAGAGUUAAGUGGCCGAUUACAAUAAGUCUGGAUUCUCUUUGCCAAGGCUCUUACUGACUGAUCGCUUGCUUAUUUCACUCUUCAACGAAGAAUAAACAUUACUCUUCUUUGAUUUUGGUCUUGAUAAAAGCACAAUACUCUUGAUACUUGGUGUAUGAUUGCCAAAAGAAAGGCUGAUGUAAAAGCUUACAGGUGCUCACCAACAUCUGAUACUAUCGACUUGAGCAGCUGAUCACAAAAAUCCUUGGCCAGGAUACUUGUUGAUUGCUUACUUAUUGUGCUCUUCAGUGGAGAAUAAACAUUUCUCCUGUUUGAUUUCAGACACACACUUAAUCUGAUUGAUUGGUGUAUGAUUGCUAAAGUCAAGGCGGCUGUAAACACUUGGAAAGCUCACCAACAUUUAAUACUAUGGAGUUGAGCAGCCUGACUACAAGAAAUCUGGAAUCUCUCAGCCACAACUCUUAUUGAUUGCUUUCUUAUUUCCAUCCUUCAACGAAGUACAAAAGUUACUAAUUGAUUUCAGACUCUUCAUCUCAUUACCUGGUGAAUUGAUUGCCAAUGUAAAGGUUAAUGUAGACACUUCAUCUUUUUCUGGUAAUUCUCCAUACAUACGUUUUGUCCUGCAAAUUGAAAGAAUUUGUUGGGAAUCCUAUGAAAUUUGUGCACCUGAUUUGAUCAAGAAAACCUAACAAAAUUAGUUGGAAAUCGGGAAAAAAAUCCGGAAGUAUUUUGGAUCUUUAAUUGCCCAAAUUGACAUAUUAUUAAGCAACUAAGUUAACCCAAUAUGGAUUAGUCAUUAAUCAAAUAUACACAUCAAACAAACACUUCCAUUCUCCUACUUAGUAUUGAAAUAUUUGGCGAUCUUUCACUCCUCCCAUCACGCUUUCGUCUCCUCUAAACUUACUGGUAACCAGCGGCGACGAGCUGCUUCGCUGAAACCGGCUACCGCCGGUAGUCGGAAGUCUACGGUGGGACGCAAACGGCCGUAACGGACACCUGACGACCGGGUACCGCCCGUAAACACUGAGGCCGGGGCUCACUUAUAAAGCCCCCCUGGCGUUGGGUUAUCGGCUCUCCGCCGCGGUGUCUUCGCUUGAUGCUUUCUCCCGUUCGCAGGGCGAAAUCCUCCGGUGAACGAGCUCAAGAUCGGCGAGUCCCGCUUUCGGAUCUCUUCUGUAAAGGGUUCCCCUUCUCCCCCACCAAGAUCUCGAGUCCUCUCUGCCGGGUGAGUUCUUGCUUGGAUCUCAGGUGUCGAUCGCCCCAUGAACACGAUCUGGUUGGCUUCUUGUAGGUUGAGUUCGGAAUUGUGGUUUGAAUCCUCUGCGUGUUCGGGGUUGGGAGAUCUCGCAUUCUUGAUGAAUACGUUGAUCUGCCGACGGAAUCUUGGUUCUUGAUUUCGUAAGGGUUUCAGAAUAUCGGUUUGUUGGUUCUUGGUUGGAUCCCUUCCAGAUCUGAUCGCAGAUCAUUCUCGCCGGAAUUUGGCUUUUGAUGAGAUUCUUGUAGCUGUGAUUUCUCGAAUUGAAGUUCUUGGGGAAAUGAGGGGCUUGAGAUCGAAGUGUAAAGUUGUUGUUCUUGUACUUCUCUUUGUAUGGGUGGCUAUCACGGGGCUAUAUGAACUGUUGAAACCAGUCCCGAGUGGCUGCAUCAUGACAUACAUGUAUCCGAUGUAUAUCCCUAUCCCCACGCCCGCUAAUGUCUCGUCGGACAAGUACGGGCUGUUCUUGUACCAUGAGGGAUGGAAGAAAAUUGAUUUCGAUGAGCAUCUGAAGAAAAUUAAUGGCGUCCCUGUUCUUUUCAUACCUGGAAAUGGUGGCAGCUACAAGCAGGCGAGCCUUUUUAAUCUUUUACCCUUUUCAUUGUUCAAAGUAUAAAAUUUUCACUUUCUCCAAGUAUCUUAGUUACAAUAUGUUAUUUAAAAAUGUUUAUCUUUUGUAUUAUACCAGUUAUUUCUCUAGCUCUGUAGUAAAAAAAAAAAACACUUCUUGUUCAUGUACAUUCAAGUUAAUGAUGCAAAUUUGUGUUCAAGACUUGAUGCAUAUUUUAUAGCAGCAAGGAAUUUUGCUGCCAAAUCUGGUCUGAUAUUUGAGUAGUUUGACUGGAAAUAGACUUCACCAAUGAAAUUGUUGGUCUUUUAAAUUAAUCACGAUGCUUGUCAUUCCUUGAAAAGUCAAACUGACCUGACACAGUCUGCAUCCAACAUUUGGGAAAACCAAGAAAAUAUGGGGAAAAGAUAGGAUUUUGAUAAUGUUUUUAUUUCCAUGGUACGGGAAGAGAAUAGGGAUGGGUGUCAGUUUCAACCGUACCUUCUUAAUAUAGGCUUCUGAUCUUCCUUCUAGUGAAUCAGAUAAAGAUUUCCAUUAUGUUCGCUGAAUUGCAUUUUGAAUUCACUGGAAUGCCUAAGCUGUUAUAGAAUUAUGCAAAAGAUCGGAGACUUUAAAAUACCAACUCCAUAUAUCAGUUAAUCUGUAUGCAUUAUUUUUCCUGUUCAAACAAACUUGUAAUCAGAACUACUGUCAUUUUCAACUAAAGCGAAAAUGGCUAAGUUGACUAAUAGUAACUUUAUAUUUACUGUGAAGUAUGGUAUCAAUGGAAGACCACUAAAGGGAAAAAAUAGUUAAAAGUGAAACAACACAUAGAAAAUAUGUUUAUAGUUUGAAGGUACAAAGAUUUUGUUCACAAUCUUGAAGGUACAUAAAAUAAAGUUGUAGACAUAAAUGCUUCAUCACAUAGCCAUUUAUGGUUCUGAAUACAUGCCAAAUUGUCAUUUUCAUUAAACUUCUUAAUUUGAUGUGCAAAAUAACUCAAAAGUCCUCCUCUGAAAAGUCAUUAAACUUCUUAAAAAAUGAAUGCUUCAUCCAUAAAAAAAAUUAUAAUUAGGUAAUUAAAGGAUCUUUUUGUGAUGGUUGCUGAACUGAUGUCAAUUCCAGAUAUAGUGCAGACUGCAGAGUUAAUUUUCAAAAAAUGAAGCAGGCAAAUUGGAGUUGUAGGUAGUAUUUACUUUUUUGAACAAUUUUUUCUGAAGCUAUUAUCACAUAGCCAUUUAUGGUUCUGAAUACAUGCCAAAUUGUCAUUUUCAUUAAACUUCUUAAUUUGAUGUGCAAAAUAACUCAAAAGUCCUCCUCUGAAAAGUCUUCAUAUCUAUUAUGCACCCUGCAUAUGUGCUACGUGGUACUUUAAUAUCUGCAUAUCGCGCUUAUUCGAACAUUGCCUGGGUCAUUUGAACAUGCUCUAGUGAUGUCUAGUGAUGCUCCAAGCCCUAAGAUAUAGUGUAAGGUUGAACUUGGUUUGAUGGCUUGUUGAAAAGGCAACUCAGGUAAAUUGAUCCUCUUUUGUACCAUGGUAGAUGAGCCAUACAUUGUGCAUUUGUUUCAGGAAUUUUGUUGUAAUAUAAACUCCACAAUCUCUUCAUCAUACUCUUUCAUGAUUUUUGUAUCGCUGACUUCAAUUUGCCAUUAUCUUGACAACCUCAAGGCAACCUUCUUCUUUGUAUCUUUGGACCCAGCAAUGGCUCUUAUUUUAAAUAUUUAUAAGUAUCUCGCCUGAAUGAUUACCUGAAUUCUGAGUUAUCAUGUAUCUUUUUUUGAUCCUUGAUUAUGGAAGAACUAGGGUAUUAUACCUUUAAAGAGGUUAUGAGCUUCUGAAACUGCUGGUAUCUGUGGCUAAACUUUGGAUCCACGGGGUCCAUUUAGUUGUUAUAAUCUGCAGUUUCAAAUUCAAUCAUAUGUUCCUAGUUUCAACUAUUGUCACAGAAAAAUUUGUCUAUACCUAGCUCUGUGCUGUAAAUGUUGUUGUCAUGACUUGAUGUUGUAUGAUUUGGCAAGCAACAUCAGUGGUUAAUUGAUUUCAUGGCAACUGAAGUUAUAUGAGCUUAACGUACAGCCACAGGGACAUAUUCUUAUCGCUAGCAGGCUUGGUUUAAUUGAAACCUGGAAGUACUCUCUUCUCUUAAUUUGCUUCCAUUUUCUGAAGGAUUUUUAUCCAGCUUGAUAAAUGAGUGUUGGUGCACUUUAGGAUUGAGUUAAAUCAAGUACUUAAAUUUGUGUCUUAGGAAAUGCACAUCUUUUUAUUUUAUGUUAGUCCAUUAUGAUUUUCAUUACAAAAACUUGGGGCUUCCUUAAGCCAGUUAGCAUGGUAGCUUCUUCCUCCAUUGAAUCUAAACAUUAUGUUAUGUCUCUGACGUCCCAAUGUUCUGAUUUAUGCUCUUUUAAGCCUGCUUAAAGCUUGAUUUGAAUGUGGUGUUGUAAAUAACAUCUGUCUUGUUUAUCUUUUCAUCUGCACUUUGUCUUUCUAGGUCCGGUCUUUGGCUGCCGAAUCUGAACGGGCUUACCAAGGAGGACCACUUGAACUAACUUUCUACCAGGAAGCAUCUGUUGUACCGGAAAAGACAAAAACUAAGUCGGAGGAUCUGGAUAACUUUGUGCUUCCCACCCAAUAUAAUCAUAAGCUUGACUGGUUUGCUGUGGAUCUCGAAGGGGAACAUUCUGCCAUGGAUGGUCGGAUACUUGAAGAGCAUACCGAAUAUGUUGUAUAUGCAAUCCAUAGGGUAUCUUCGAUAUUAGACUGAACCAUGUGCUACGUUUUGAAUGAAGAAUUUACUUGCCCAAACGAUAAUUUGCUUAAUUGUUAUCAGAUAGGUAAAUAGUUGCAUGACUACUAAAUGGUGUAGAACCUGAUCUCAGUUACAUAGUUCUUUUUUCAGCAUUUUAUGCUGAAGAUGCUUCCGAUUAUGCACAUAAACAAAGAAACAUUUUGUGUUGACAAACUAGUUUCUUUACACUUGUUUGAGCUGGUUAGUCCUCUUUAGUCAUCGCUUGAAGUGCACCAAGGGAUAGUUGCAUUUAACCUUUACAAGUCAAUGACAUAUCUGAUUCCUAUGUGGUUUCAAUUAAAUUGUUCUCAAGUAGUUUAGUGAGUUAGCAGAGCGGCAUUUGGAAAAGCUGCAAACAGCAAGGGACAAUUUUGAAUCUUAUAUGAUUUUUUAAUACUUGAAUUUUCUUAAUUAAAAUGUAAACAUUGGAUAUCGCUUUAUUAGCUUACUUUAGUAAGUGAGCAUAAGUUGACCUGAAAAUUACUGUAUCUAAAUCCUUUUGUAUGGUCGUAAUUCAAAUAUGAACUUGCCUGCAAAGUUUUGAAUGUCGAUCGGAUCGGCACAUGCUGAUUGGCAUUUACUGGUCCAACCAAGGACCAGUGGCGGGCCAUAUAGGUUGUUUAUGUUAGUAUCUAAUAUUUUAUUAUUUUGUCAAUGAUAUUGGGCACCAGAAUUCAUAUAUCUUUCAAGUAUAUCGGCAUCCUAAUGGUCCAAUCGGUUACUAAAAUUAGUAUCAUUUCGAGAUAUAAAUCCUUCUUUGUCAAUUCUGACAAAUUAUGUAACUUGUUCUUUCAUUUGUACAAAAUUAUGUACUAGAUCAUCAGAUAAUUGCUGACCCAUAUUUUCAUAUGCUCUUGUAGAUCUUGGAUCAAUAUCAAGAGUCUAAAGAAGCCCGAUCUAAAGAAGGUGCUGAUGUUUCCGGAAGCCUGCCCUCAAGUGUAAUAUUAGUUGGCCAUUCAAUGGGUGGCUUUGUGGCUAGAGCUGCAAUUGUGCAUCCAUACUUGCGGAAAUCAGCUGUCGAAACCAUAAUAACACUUUCAAGCCCACACCAGUAUGUUUUAUCACCUUUUUUCUCUGAUUAUGUAGAUUAUUAGAUUUCUAGCAUGAAUAUUUAAUCCUUGAUGAGAGCUUACAACUUGUCCAGAUUGCCUCCAAUUGCACUGCAACCAUCCUUGGGGCACUAUUUUUCACAAGUGAAUGAAAAAUGGAGAAAGGGUUAUGAGAUGCAAACAAACAAUAUUGGCCAUAUUAUAUCUGGUCCAAAAUUAUCUCAUGUUGUUAUUGUCUCUGUAUCUGGCGGCAUUUACGAUUACCAGGUUUGUUUUUUAUUUUUCUUAAUGUUAGUUAUAAAAGAGAUUUUUGAUGACUGUCUUUAUUUUAUCUUCCAUUUAUAUUAGUGUUUACUUUAUAGUUCUUGUUCCUGUAGUUCUUGGUUAUAUGAUUAGUGAUGUUCUAUCAAUCAGCAUUCUAGAUCCUUAAAGACAAUACACUCAAGUCGGGAAACCAUAGAAAAUAACCUUGACCAUAUUUAGUGUGCAUAAUUGGGAGUUUUCUAUGUGUGGUGUGAUCAUUGACCAUAUUUAGUGUGCAUAAUUUGGAGUAUGCAUAGAAAAUAACCUUGACCAUGUUCCAGCCAAAGUAGGUCUUUUGCAAUUCGUUCAGAUUAGGAUGCCAAUCCUUUUUACAAUGAGUUGCUAGGUGUGUAAUUUUGCAUUUUCCUCUAUUUUGCUUGGAUGAUUUUUGUUUGUGCUUGAGUUUGUAAAUGUGACUUUGUUCAAUGUAAAUCUUGUGUGAGUAUGCUGACUGUGGUCCCACUUCUUUGAUGAAUAUGUUUUUCCAGGUCCGUUCCAAAUUGGCUUCUUUAGAUGGCAUCGUUCCGUUUACUAAUGGUUUUACAAUAGGAAGCUCAGGUAUGAACAAUGUCUGGCUUUCAAUGGAGCACCAGUCUAUUCUCUGGUGCAAUCAAUUAGUUGUACAGGUAAGCAAGUCUACAGAUUGGUGCAUGGAUCAGUUUGGUUCUGUGAGUCCUCCAUCAACAUCAAUGUUCUUUGCAGAUUUCACAUUCUCUUCUUAGUAUGGUAAACUCUGAAACUGGGCAACCAUAUCCAAGUGUAGCAAGAAGGAUACUUGUGCUAACAAAAAUGCUUCAAAGUGGCAUACCUCAUAGUUUAAACUGGCUGGGGGAUAUGCAUACAUCUCAGGUUUCAAUAAAGCUUCCCAUCAAGGAUGCUGCACGUCAUACUGGUAUUUUUCAUUUUGCCACCUCUAGCACAUCACGCGUUGUUUUCAAUUUUACCAAGUUUGUAAUUAUUUAUGCACGAAAGCUGUACAGACUACAAAUUCAUGCACAAAUUAUCUGUGCACUGAAGCAAUGACAUUAUUAUAAAAAAGAACAAAGAAAAAGCUAUCUUUCAUCCGAUGUGGAUAUGAACUUAGACAUAUUUUUUUUCAUUCUUCGUACAAGUUUCAGAAAUAAAUUUUGGCAUCAAAUCUGUGACUUUUUAGAAAAUAAGGGGGCUGUAAGAAUAGCAGUGGCCUUCCUGAAGAGGACUUUUAUUGUGACUGGCUGCUACUAGUGUUUGGUCUGGCGAAAGUGAAAGAGAAGAAAAAAACCAGAAGUGCAAUUCUAGAUAAGAGAUUAUUUCUUUAUUCUGACUUUGGUUGGGAAUGUGAAACUGACAUCUGUGGCAAUUAAUGUAUUGAUUUUUCUUAACCAAACAUCAUAGGUAGCUAUAAAAUGAUUUGACAUAUUUUAAAGCUAAACAAAUUUGUUUUUAUAUGAUCCAACUUAAUAUUAUUCUUAACCCAGACACAUUAAAUCAAUGUGAUCAAAUCAAAAUUAACUAAAUAAUUAAAAUUUAUUCUAAUUAAAACAAUGCUGUCAUAUUUCAUCUUUCUGCAAUAAUAAAUUCUGGAACUCUGCAAAUUUGGCAACGACUUUGGGUNNNNNNNNNNNNNNNNNNNNCUGCAUAAAAAGUCUGUGUGACCCUUCAUUAGAAUUUAAGCGGUUUGAUUUAUAUUCAACUCCUAUUGGUGGAGGAUAACUUUGAUGAUUUUUAUGAUUACUCCCAUUGUACAUCUAGAAUCUGAACAUUGAUAUAGAUAUAUGUAGGAAGAUAGAUUUCUUGGGGUAGAACAUUUAAGCAAAUGAGUAAUAUAUUAUUGUUCAUUGCUUUUGGACUGAGAAUAAGAGCCUGUUGCUUGUUGCCUAUCUCUCUGUUCAUGCUUAUUUGUAACUUUCUCAAUGGUUGGGAAAGAUCUUUAUGACUGACCCCAAAUUGUUGUUCUCACUUCUUACCUUGUACUUCAGAAGCCAUUGUGAUAGAUAUGAACUAUGAAGUAUUAUAACUAAAGAUAUGCAUUGGGCUUGCAGAUCCUCCAGUGCAGGAUCGAUAUUCAUGCCCCCCCUCUGUUCACUGGAGUGAUGAUGGCCUUGAGAAGGAUCUCUACAUAGAAUCAACCACUGUUACGGUUUUAGCGAUGGAUGGGAAGAGGCGUUGGUUGGACAUUAAGAAACUGGUAAAUUUCACCCAGCUUCAAUAUUUUCUACUCAUGGGUGUGGUUUGAAGUUAGUGUUCCUCUUUCUUAGCUGGUCUCAUGCUUGAUGGGAUGCUUAAAGAAUAAUUUGCAUAGGUGUGCAAGCAAUAUUUUAUCUUUUGUUUCAUCAUUUACUCUUGAGAAUAUAAGUUCUGUGCAAUUCAUCUUUUACUCAAUCAAACCCAGUAUUAUCCCCACGUUGGGAAAGGCUGUUUCCUUGAAACCAUGAUGUCAAAGUGGCAAUAGAGCAAGCUUCCCAGUGGCUGAUGCUUGUCGUUAUUUAUGUUACUCUCACACUCUAUCGCAUUCUGUUAACCAUCUAACUUGGUCAAUUUAAUUUGUCUGUUCUUGCUAAUAAGUCACUGAAGACUCUUUUGGAUGGUUUCUUCACUGUAUGUUUAGGUAAUAUAUAUGUAUUGCUUAAUUAGUGUUUUAACUGCUUUCAGGGUUCAAAUGGUAGAGGACACUUCAUCUUUGUAACAAAUCUUGCUCCCUGUUCUGGGGUUAGACUUCACCUGUGGCCUGAGAAGUCGAAAAAAUCAUUAUUAGGUGAACUGCCUGUUAGUAGGAGAACCAUUGAGGUGACAUCAAAGAUGGUUCACAUUCCUGCAGGACCUGCACCAAGACAGGUACCUAUUCUGCAUCAUCCUCCGAUGAAAUUCCAUCAUGUACAAUCUGCAUAGAAACUAUUGGUUUUUAUUCAUUGACAGACAGGUAUCUCUAUUUUUAUUCAAUUUUUAUCCGAGCAUCAUGCCAUAAAUGCAAUUCUAGGCUUUUUUUUUUUAUGAUUUAAGGAGGCACUCUUACAGUGGAAAGAUCCUCUUUUAUGCAUCAGAUUGAACCAGGAAGCCAGACUGAACAAGCACCUCCAUCUGCCUUUCUUCAGCUAACUCCUGAGGAACUGCAUGGUUUUCGAUUCUUGACCAUUUCAGUCGCUCCACAUCCGGUAAUACCUUCUUUUCUGUUUUCUUUUCUUUUAUUCAGCUAUAUGGUAGAUCUCAAUUGUCACCUCCUAUAUAAAAAAAAUGGAUUUCUUUUGGAAUUCCACAUCACUUUCCUGGUCUAUCUGCAUGAAUUUCUGUACAAAAUUUGUGCUCUAUGACAUGAUCUUGCUUCUGCAGAUGUAGAUAUUAUUUUCUAUUCUGCUUUGUGGUUCCUAAACUAAUGCUCAUGUGGGUUAGGCUGUUGCUAGGUUCUCUCUUUUGGCUAUAUUUAUGAUGAUGAUAGCUUAUGAAAAUGUUGAUAUGCAUAACUAGUAACAAUUCCUAGUUUCCUUAUUUAAAAAAACAAGUGAUAAACCAUACUUUAGAUUCUUACCCUUUUUGUAGAUUACCUUUCCAGAAUUUCAUUACACCAUGUUAAUAUUUUCUGUAUUUCAAUUGGUUGUACUAAACUAUAAAAUACUAUCUAAGUUUAAGAAUUGAGACAUGUCUUUACAGGUCUUUAGCAUUGCAUGUAUCAGAUCUCCCUUUAGAACAUUGUGUCUGAUAAUAAAAUAAAAAAUUACCUCUUUCUAUCAUCAUUGUAAUCUAUGCAGUAAUUCAAACAGUUAAAAUCUGUUUAAGUAUAGAGCCUAUGACAAUUCUAUAGAAACUUACAAAACAUAUGUAUACUGUUAUAUAAUGCUACAAUUUAACUGUCUAGGAGAAAGAUGCUACCUUUUGUUUUAAAAUCAAGUUAACUGGUAGAUUCUUGAUCUACAUUUAUUUUUUGUUGUUGUUCAGACUGUUUCAGGUAGGCCUCCGCCUGCUGCUUCUAUGGCAGUUGGACAAUUCUUCAACCCUGAGGAAGGAGAGAGAAAAUUUUCUGCUGCUAUGCUUCUUCGGUCUAGCUAUGUGCAAGAGGUUCAUGCUUAAAAAGUUAUUUGUAGGUUUUUGGUUCACUUACAUAUUAUAUAGAUGUGGUACUUAAGAUGUUCAUUCUUUUCCAUUUAAGUAAAAACCUUAAUCAUUUUCCGGGUGGUUGCAGGAAAUGUUGCUUAAGGAGGAUCAUCCACUUGCUUUCAAUUUGUCGUUCUCCAUAAGCCUUGGUCUUUUGCCAACUAUUUUGUCUCUAAAGACAACUGGUUGUGGGAUAAAGUCUACUGCUGAACAAACUGGAGAUGAUGAGCAAAGCAGUAAGCUCUAUUUGAUCCUUCCUUUUCCUUGUUUCUUCCAAUCAUGUUUAAUGUUUGAAUUCUGAAGAUUUUAACUUUUCUAACUAUAAAUGAUUUCUCUCUUUUUAGUUCUUAACGUCCUAAAUCCUAAUUGCAUAUUGUUUCCCACUUGUCAAUGUGUAUUUAUAUUUGAAAUGUUGGACUUUAAGAGUUUAGAAUCUGUGGUUGAUGUAAAGAGCAUUGGAUGGGUACCAUAUAAAAUGACAGCAAAGAUGAAGCAUAAUGUUAGAUCUGGCAUGAGAGAGCUUAUUGAUCUUUUUCUCUAAAGAUAAGUGAGGUAGGUAAUAUAAUCUUUGUUGCAUGCAUUAAUCAAAUAAGUUAGAAUGAUGGGUAUGCUUGUCAAAACUUUGAGGGGCCUAUUUGCCAAAAUCCUUGGAGAAUUGUCAUAAGAUUUUGCAUGGGUGACAAGGAACCUCAAAUGAAGAAAUCAAAGGCUAGUAAACAUUGGAAAAGAAAGUAUGAAGAAAUUGGUUGCACAAACUAAAUAGUGGCAAGACAAGGUAUCAUAAAACCAAUCAAUACAUUCAAAAUUGGUGAGAAGGAACCUUGGAGAAUUGUCAUAAGAUUUUGCAUGGGUGACAAGGAACCUCAAAUGAAGAACUCAAAGGCUAGUAAACACUGGAAAAGAAAGUUUGAAUAAAUUGGUUGCACAGACUAAAUAUUGGCAAGAAUAGGUAUCGUAAAUGAUAAAACCAAUCAACACAUUCAAAAUGUACCUCGGUAGAAAGGUAUUGGUGCUUGCUGUGCCAACUCAGAGUUGCUGCUGACAUAUAACUAUCAAAUUGUGCAUUGUAUGAGGUUAUCGGCGUGGCAAACGCUAUUCCAUGAUACUACUUGAAAUGCAAAACUGCAAAAAUGACAAGUUGACUAUAUAUGGAAAUUUAGUAUCAAGAAAUUGAUGAAGCAAUUCCAAGUACACAAGUGUAAUAUGUCAAGCUAGUCUGAUAAAAUCAAAAUUAUAUAGAUUGUCUUAAAGAAUAUGGCUCUAAUAAAUAUCCUUAGGAGUUAGUUACUUGCGCCUCAUUAAUCAUCACAAGAACAAAGCAGUUAAUGUAGAACUAAUUAUUGUUUGGACGUGAAAUGAUCUGCCUUACUACACUUGAAUGAUCUAAAGGUGAUUGCUGUUGUGAUAUAUAAUAUAGAAAUAAUCUGAACUUUAAUGUCUCAUGUCUAUUGAAAAAUUGAAAUAACAUGUUUCUAUGGAAACUGUAAUCCCAUUACAUUCUUCUGAAACUGACCCCUAGAUUCCCAAAUAAUUAAUUCCUAAUGACUUAAUAAUCUCAUUGACAUAAUUUACAUCUUGGUAGGAUACAUGAGCAUAAAUUCCAUUCAGGUACUGGAUAUUAUGGGGAUCAGAUCACCCUUGAAAAUUUUCAGGAUUAAUGUGGUCUCUCAUAGACCUGAUAUGUAAGGCUUAUGUGUGGAUCCAUACAUCAGUUGUGUGAGCAUUCUCAUAUGUUCACCUACCUUCAAAACCAAUUGUAAAACUACUGGGAAGUUAAUGCAAAAAUCAUCUUAUUACAUUCAAGUCAACCAAUAGAUGGAGAAAUCAAAUUUAAUCUUGUGUUGCACUAGUGAUGGAAAAAAGCUUCUUUUCAUGUUUUUAAAAUUAUGGCAACUGAACAUAUCAUGGUGUCACAAGACCAGUUUUGUAUCUACGAAAGGAUGAUUGGAGAUUCUACUAAGGAGGAAUUAUGUGCCAAUAUAGUAUGAAGCAUUAAAUGGGAAUAAAAGGACUAAGACAUGGAGAAGUGAAAUAUUACAUUUUUGACAAGGACAACAACAAUAAUAAAACCGUAAUGUCCCAAUUAUUUGGGAUUGGCUAGAUCCUUUGCUACCAUUAGACUCUGCAAAAAUAAUAUUGAAAUCGAUUAAGAUUUAUGUUUAUGAAACCUGAUUUUUUUUAUGAGUAGAUCAAUGAAAAUUGUAUCACACAUUUUUAAUCAAAUAUACAUCACCAUGGACAUAUACACAUCGGAAUAAUGGGUUGCUAGACUUGUUAUUGAGAUUCCCCAUGGUUAGGGUGGGAACAUAUAGAGGCAACAUGAAAUAUAAAAACUACAAUUUUUUAACAUCUGUCAUGUGUUAUGACAGACUUAUUGGAAACUUUGAUAGUUUGAUUGGUCAGGAUGUUUGAGGUUGGUCUUGGCUUGCCGCACCUUGUCUUUUCAUAGAUAAAAACUACAAUUUUUUAACAUCUAUCACAUGUUAUGACAGACUCAUUGGAAAUUUUUGAUUGGUCAGAAUGUUUGAGGUUGGUCUCAGCUUCCAGCAGCAAUGCUGUCUUUUCAUAUAUACACAACAUUUUUUUUCUUUCUAUACAUGCUUGCUUAAAUGUUCAGUCCUCCAGUUACUCAUGUUGAUUUAUUGUUAGCAUUUCAGGGUUUUGCAAACUUCGUUGUUUCCCACCUGUUGCCCUGGCUUGGGAUUCGGUAUCUGGUCUACAUGUCAUUCCCAACAUGUAUACUGAGACUAUCACUGUAGAUUCAUCACCUGCAAUGUUUGAUUCUAGUCCAGAGUCUGACAAAACUAUUGUAUUUUUGUUGGUAAAGCUCUUUUUUAUCUUGUAGUAUAUAUUUGUUGAUGAUUGUCAUGGAUUUGCAAUCGAUUUCUGAAUAUAUAUAUCAAAAUGUUCGUUCUAAGGUGUAUCUUGCAUCAACAUUAUUGCAGGUGGACCCACACUGCUCAUAUACAAUGGGUAUUUCUGUUUCUUUAACUGCUGCAGCAAGCAGAUUUUGUCUUUCAUAUUCUUCACAGGUGAUUGUUUUCUGUGAUUCGCUGCUUUUCUUCUGAGCUUACUGAUUUGUAAUCUACAAUUUUGAUCUCCAUAUAGAAGUCGCACAUAAUAAGUAACCUUCAAAAUUUGGAGAGAGGAAAAGGAAUUAGGAAAAAAAUGAGAAAUCUUAAUUAGUGAUCUUUUCAACCUAUCAAACAGAAAAAAUAAUAAUUUCACUUUUGACAUUUGCAGGUAAAUUUGUCGUCUUCAUCAAAGAAAAAGGAUAAAAUGGUUUAAAAUAGGUUCAAUUCCCCAUCUAAGGGUGUUUAUGUCUGCAUGCUUAUAUCCUAGUAUUGUGCAUAUUGCUCGCAAUUUGAUUCACUGCAUGUUUUUUUCAUUCUUUCUUCAUUUGUUUGAAACUAGCUUUACUUCCAUGGAUAUGCUUCUCUAUAUCAAACUUGAUCACUAGGCUACUCGACUUUGCAGAUUACUGGUUUCAUGAUAGCGGCUGUGUUUUUUGCUCUGAUGCGGCAAGCACGUGCUUGGGAACUCGAUGCAUCACUUCCAUCCAUUUUGUCAGCUUUGGAGUUUAAUUUGAGGAUGCCACUUCCUUUUCUGAUCUUUGCUGUGUUACCUGUUUUUGUUUCUUUGCCUGUUCUAUUGCUGACAAGGCAACAUGUGCCUCCAAUUGCAAGCUACAUCUCUCUUUCUGUAUUGUGCUAUUUAGUUGCAAAUGGAUCUGUGAUGAUAUUGAUUCUAAGUUCUCAGCUGAUCCUCUAUGCUGCUGCAACUAUACAUGUUUACAUCAAGAAAAGGUUAGUGUUUUCCGUAGUUUACAAAUAAUCUGUUUUCCAAUUAAUUUAAAUUAUGCAGUUCUUAUAAUUCUUUUCCUUUUGUUAAAAAAAUGUUCAUUUGAACUAGUCUUUGUUGAUCAUUGGAUUUGUAUCUUCCAUCUUCAAAAGGAUUUUAUUAUGCAUUCUUUAACACUAAAUUAAUUGUGCUAAAGCAAAAUUUCAUGUUUUUGAUUAAUUUAAUAUGCAACAGUGUGGAUGAUUUUUUUGUACCAGGAGGUCUCUUGCAUGUCUGCACACCAUCCAGCAGCUAGGACUAAUAAUCGUGGCAUAACCAAAUUUGUUGACCCUAAUACCUUGGAUUGUGUCAAAAUUCAGUAGUUUACUCUUAAAAAUGUUCUGCCCAAAGAAGUUUAGUUUCUAGAAAAAGAUUUUAUUAUCCUAAAAGAAUAGAAGAUCUCUCUUAAACCAAGGAAAGUUUUGGUUGACUGGAGAAGGAAGUGAUUAAAAAGUUCUGGAAGGUAUGUGUUAGAUGGAUUGUUCACCUUUGCUUUCUAGGAGCUAGAAAAAUCAAGAAAGAGAGAUUUUUUUUGAUGAAUUUUGUUGGAUCUAAACAAAAUUUUGGGCAAGGAAACUAGAAUUAUGAUUGGUGGAGGUUAACAUGUGACAAAAAUAUAUAAUAGGUUGGUGAUCAGUCUGAUUUGUUCUAACGUCUCUUCUGGAUGGCUCUUUUUGUUUCUUUUUUUCUUCUUUAUCCCUCUGUCCUAGUAUUUAUGUUGUCUUUUUGAUAAAAGGGAAGCUCAGGCUUUGCCUAUCUUUGCCUCAAAGAAAGACCAAAUAGCAAGUCAAUCAUAUGCUGGUGGGAGUAUUGUGCUCUGGGUUAUAUUAAUUAAUAAAAGAUGCAUAUGAUCAAGUUUUAAAUACAGGGUGAUAUAUCGACUGCUUAUAUUGCUUGAUAUCAUCAGAAAAAUAAUAAGAUGUUAGAUAUCAAUCAGCACUGUCCUGUAUGGUCUAUUGGUAUAUGUUUGAAUUGGUAUAGACUACUUUAUACAUAUUGGUUCAUAGAGGUGUUUUUUUUUUCAAAUAGAAUUAUCUUAAAUCAUCAAAUGCUCAUACAAGAUGUUUGGAGGUGAAAUGCUUCUCCAAAAGAUAUUAGUCAAAUGUUGUCUUGCAAAGUUUGCUAAAGCAUGAGCAUAAAAAAUUGUGUUGACGUGGGAUAAAGUUCCAGUCUGUAACAUGCAUGACUUUUGCUAGAUGUAGGAUGUCUAGAGUUAUAUUUUUGAACCUCCAUGAGUGAUGUCAGGUUGUUGCAGAAGCUAUAUGAGUUGCAUAGAGUCUGAUUUGACCUGUAGAGAGGAUAAACUCUUGCUCAAAGCUUUACCUAGUCCUUGGUAGAUCAUCCAAGUUUCAGCCAUUAAUGAGGAGGAUGUUUUUACGGUGCAGCAACCAGCAAAAACAAUAUUGUUGUCUCGAUCAAAGAUGACGUAUCUUGCCCCUGUAAAAGAAGACAUAGGAGAGUAAGAGCCAUCACAGAAGAGAGAGUAUGAGUGUUGAUUAGUUGUUUGUGUGGGAAUGGGGGAAGGAAAAUUUUUUCCUUAUCCCUCAGGUUUUGGGAUAGUAAUUGGGGCAUCAUUGGUUAAGCCAAGUGCACUGACCGAUAUAUUGGUGGGUUGAAGGUGUUGGUUACGAUGUUUGCAAUUCAUUACGAUGCUUCCAUAAAAGCCAAAGACAAUUUGCUAGAAGAGAGCAAAAGAGAGAAGUCGAGUGAGGAUCUAAAUCUUCUCCUUUGUAAAGCCAAGAACCAUGAAUCAAGUUGUUGAAGAAAUUAAGAGGAUGAGAUGUUUGGGCUUUACCAGAGAUUUUUUGUGAAGACAAUCAAAGAAGAUAUGCUUGAUUGAGUCUUGGCUGGAUUGGCAAACCGGACUUGUGAAAAUGUAAAUAUGGAGAAAGUGGGAUGUCCAUUUGGAGGUGGAUAGACAUUUCUGAAGCUUCCAUAGGAAGUUUUUAAUCCUAGGGAGUAUCAGAAAUGCCCACAUCACCUUCCAGCCCUUCCAUCCAUUGUCCAUUUUUCUAGGGAUGUCUUUUAGAUAGGCAUAAGCACUACGAGCAGAAAUAUGUCUGAGGGGAUGGGGGGUCAAUUGUCAUCACUUGGGAUGGCUGGAAGAAAAAUAUUAAGAAUGGAGGUGGCAAUGUCAAUAGAGAAAAUGUGAUGAAUGAGUUGGGCAUUCCAUGAGUUGUGUUCAAGAAGGUCCUAGACAGAAGUGACUGUAUCUAAAUAGUUGACGUUGAUGUUGGUAGACCACUUGGAUAAAGGAAUAUUAAUGAUCCAUGGGUCAUUCCAGAGAUGAGUGGUAACACCAUUUGAUAUUAGUGGCAUUGAGUGGAUUGUAGAGGGAUUUCUAACCAUAAGAUGAUUUCUUGGGUAAUGAGGAGUUCCAAGGGUGAAGAUGUCCAUAUUUAGUAGACAAGAUUUUGGCCCAAAGACAAACAACAUCAUUAAGUAGAGAGAUGAUGCGUUUAGCAGCAAUCAUGGUUUUGACAAGUUUCAAAUCACGAAGACUGAGGCCGCCAUCAGCCUUAUGAUUGGUAAUCCUAGUUGAUGAGACAAAGGCUGUUGUGAUUGGGUUAGUUGUUCUGAAAGAAUUUUCUAGAAAUGGUAAUGAUUCUAUUAAUAUUUUUGUCAGAUACCCAAGUGUUCAUGAAGGUAUGAAGACGGAUGACAUUAACAAUCGAGUUGAUAAGGGUGGUUUUCCCAGCUUGAGAGAUAAGGUCUUUUUUCCAUCCUUGUAUUUUUGUUGAGGCAUUUGUUAAUAAUGAUGUCUUGGUGCACCUCAGUGAGUCUGGCGUGGCUGAUGCAAGUACCUAGAUAGUUGAUGGGCCAACUGCCCUCACCGAUGUUGAGAAGGUUUUUGACAUGAUGCCUAAUGUAGACAUUGCAAUUUUUCAAAAAAAUAUAUGCUGGAUGUUUUAGUGUUAACCUGAAGGCCUGUGAUUCUAGAAUGUGUUGAGGGCAUUAAUAACAUUAAGGCAGGAUUUAUCAAUAGUUCUAAAGGCUAUAAUGAUGUCAUCGGAAAACAUCAAAUAUGUGAGCUUUACACCUUUGAUACUGAAAGGAGUAAUAUGACCGUUGGCUGACAAAUCAUUUAGUAUACGAGAAAGGAUUUGCUGAGUUAUAAUAAAGAGUAGAGGGGAUAUGGGGUUGUCCUUACGAAUGCCAUGAUGACUCUUGAACCAAUCAGUAUGGAAAUCGUUGAUUAGACAAGAGAAACUUGGAGAUGAGAUGCAUGCUUUAACCCAUUUGGUAAAUUUAGAUGGAAAAUUAGUUCUAAAGGCGGGAUUUAUCAAUGGUUCUAAAGGUUAUAAUGAUGUCAUCUGCAAACAUCAAAUAUGUGAGCUUUACACCUUUGAUAUUGAAAGGAGUAAUAUGACCGUUGGCCAACAGAUCAUUUAGUAUACGAGAAAGGAUUUGUUGAGUUAUAAACUUAUAAUAAAGAGUAGAGGGGAUAUGGGGCUGGCCUCACGAAUGCCAUGAUGACUCUUGAACCAAUCAGUAUGGAAAUCGUUGAUUAGACAAGAGAAACUCGGAAAUGAGAUGCAUGCUUUAACCCAAUUAGUAAAUUUAGAUGGAAAAUUAGUUCUAAAGGCAGGAUUUAUCAAUAGUUCUAAAGGUUAUAAUGAUGUCAUCUGCAAACAUCAAAUAUGUGAGCUUUACACCUUUGAUAUUGAAAGGAGGAAUAUGACCGUUGGCCGACAAAUCAUUUAGUAUACCAGAAAAGAUUUGUUGAGUUAUAUAAUAAAGAGUAGAGGGGAUGUGGGGUUGGCCUUACGAAUUCCAUGGUGACUCUUGAGCCAAUCGGUAUGGAAAUCGUUGAUUAGACAAGAGUAACUCGGAGAUGAGAUGCAUGCUUUAACCCAAUCGGUAAAUUUAGAUGGAAAAUUCAUUUUGGACAUGGCAAAAAGGAUGCCAUCCCAGAAGAUAGAAUCAAAGGCUUUAGAUAGGUCAAUCUUGAGCAAAAUCAAAGAAUUACGACCUUUGGAGUUGUACAUUGCGUGAGCUAACUCAUGAGCCACAACAAUGCUAUCGUGUAUGGAACGACCCAGAAGGAAGGCUGAAUCUGUUAAUGAUAUUGGGAAGGAUAUUUCUGAUUCUAUUAGCAAGAGUUUUGGUAAGAAUCUAGUAGAGAACAAUACAUAGAGCAAUAGGUUUGUAGUUCGUGAUGGCUUUUGUAUUGGACUUUUUAGGGAUGAAGAUUAGAUUGGUUUUGUUCCAACUAGGAGGCAGAAGAUUGAAAGUCAUUGAAUGCUUUAGUGAUAGAAGAGGCAAGCAAGUCCCAAUAAUGUUUGAAAAAUUCAAUAGUGAACCCAUCAAGCACAAGACUUUUACCAAGUCCCACAGAAGUGCACCAUGUGUCUCAGAUGUGGUGAAAGAUGUCGUGAUAGAGUCAUGGUUGGAAUCAGGAAUUUUUUGAAAUUGAAGCCAAUUGGUCAUGAUUGGGAUUUGAGUUAUCCAAAUUGACUGCCCAUAGAUUUGAAUACCAAUGAAGGAAGCAUGAACUAAUGUCUUCAAGCUUGGUGAUGAUGUCACCAGAGUUAAGUUUAAUCGAGUGAAUGAGAUUUUUACAUCUUCUGUGCUUGACAAGGGAAUGAAAAUAUUUGGUAUUCUUGUCAUUGUUCUUGAUCCAAUUGGUUUUGGCCUUGGUCCACAUUUAAGGUGCACCUGAGACUGAGAGUGCCAUGCUCUUGUCGGUGAGAAUUUGGAGUUCAAUUAGGUCUCUCUCAUUCAGAGGAUGGGACUUGUUUCGAGAUUCAAGGUCAGUGAUAGUGGCUAAGGUGUUCUUGAGUUUAGUUUCGAUGUUCCCAGCACUGUACUGACUCCAUUGGAGAUGUCAGGACCAAGGCUGUUCAAUCUCUCAUGAAGAUUAAACAAGGAUAUGGUGGGGAGACUAGGAUUGCACCAAGAAUCGUUUAACACGGACCUAAGCUCAGGGUAAUCUGCCCAAUAAGGCUCGAAAAUAAGUGAUUUAGUUGGCUUGGGGCCAGAGUAAGAAUUGGUGCAGAUCAAAAGAGGGCAAUGACCCAAUAAAAGGUGUCUUAGAUAGAAAACAAAAGCAAAAGGGUUGAUGUCUAACCAUGACAUAUUAGCAAGUGCUUUGUCAAGUCCAACUCCAACAGAAACUCGAGAGUUACCAAUCCGAUUAUUGGACCAAGUAAAGUUCGAACCAUGAAAACCCAAAUAAGAAAGAUUGCAAGUGAACAUAAAAUCACGGAAAGAAGUAAUUGAAUUAUUUAAUUGAAAUGGCCUGCUCCCCUUCCUUUCCUUGGGGUGGACAAUACAAUUGAAAUCUCCACAAAGAAACCAAGGUAAAGAAUCCAAAUCAAGCGAUGAAAGACCAGACCAAAGCGAGUUGUGUAAACUAGGAAUAGGACUGGCGUAAAUAGCAGAGAGGAGCCACAAAGAUUUACCUUGUUCUUCCAGUAAGAAGUGCAUAAUUUGGGAUCCAUACUCACAGUGCCUGCUCUUAGUUUGUCAAGUUUCCAAGCAACAAUUAUACGUCCUGAUCUACCGCGGGCUAGAGAAGCUGCUCCCUCCCAGUCACGGCUGAGUCUGCUUAUGAAUUUCUGGCUGGCCUCCAUGUUCAAGUGAGUCUCUAGAAGUACAACAUGACUAAUAUACAUGGAUUUAAUUAAAUACAACAAAUGAUUGAGGCAAUCACAUUUGUGAGCCCCUCUACAAUUCCAACUCAACACAUUCAUGAGGGAGAUGGAGAGGACAUGGCUAAGGACCUGCUGCAAUCUGUAGAAACAAUUUUGGUGGAUUCGGAUUUCUUUUUUCUUACUUUUGUGCUUAGAGAAAGAAGAAAUAGGAAGAGAUCCUUCGGAGGGGUGGAUCAGGCUUUGGGACCUGGCUUCUGAGGAAGAUGGGACCAUUCUAGAUCAUCACCAUCUAGGAUGAAGUCCCCUUGAUCUUCAUUUGCUUGCUCUGCUGCUUUUGGAAAGCUUGGGUUACCUUGUGUACAAGGCUGUUGAAAAGCCCUUCUUCAGGAUUGCUCAAAUGAGGGGUGUCUUCGGUCUUCGUAGGACGUUGAAUGAGAAGGAUCAAUCGGUAGGGACCUGCAGAAGAAACUCGCCAUGUUCUUGCAGGAAUGGAAUAGAAGGUGGAGAGGCCAAAUGUGUUAGCGAAUGGUAGGGAAGGGAGAGGAGUUAGGAAACGGGACAGAUUGGAGAUGAAGAUAUUUAUCAUAGCAGGAANNNNNNNNNNNNNNNNNNNNAGGAGUUAGGAAACGGGACAGAUUGGAGAUGAAGAUAUUUAUCAUAGCAGAAGGGGAUGAUUGUGAUAAAUAUCUUGCCAUGUUCUUGCAGGAAUGGAAUAGAAGGUGGAGAGGUCAAAUGUGUUAGCGAAUGGUAGGGAAGGGAGAGGAGUUAGGAAACGGGACAGAUUGGAGAUGAACGUAUUUAUCACAGCAGAAGGGGAUGAUUGUGAUAUCAUAGAGGUGUAUUUAAUGAAUAUCUUAUGACCAGAGUAUUAUAUCAAGGUUCAACUUUAAGUCCUUUAUUUUUGACAUUUGUAAUAGACCUUCAUAAAUUUUAGAGUUUGCUAAUGAUAUUCUUUUGAUUGAUGAGAAUAUGAGUAAUUAUAAAAUCAUGGAGAUAAUUGUUAGAAAUUAAAGGUUUUAAAUUAAAUAGGACUACAGAUUAAGUACAAGGCUUUAAAUACCAGUUUCAUAAAAACAUCAAUUGCUGGUUGGAUUAUUACAUUGUCAAGUUACCAGUGAUAUUUCGACGUAUACCACCCAUAUGUAGAGCGGUAUCAAAUUGCAUGGAUUGUUAUCAAGUGCUUGGUCGGGUUGACAAGUAUCAAGUUUUGUGUAUUGGUUUGAUUCUAUUAUAAACCAUGUCUGAUUAUAUGAAAUACAUUUUUAGCAAUCCUAGAAAGGAAUUAAGAGUUGCAUCUAAAAUAGACAACAAGUCUGUGUAAGCAAAAAAAAAGUUAUAGUGUAUCUAUUCUCAAUAAAAAAGACAGAUUGAUGAAAUUAUAUUUCAUAAACCAAACUGUACGGAAAAAGAGAGUGGGAGUGGGUAGUUGUAGUUUUGUAUGAUUGUUAUGUGUUCCUUAGAUUAAAAAGAAAAACUUUAUUGGAUAGUUGUAAGGCUAGCCAUGCCUCAUAGUGAUAUUUUGACAUCUAAGAAACAACAAAUACAAAAAGUUAUAACUAAAAAAGAUAUUCAUUCUUCUAUAUAAGAUCGAAUGAGUAUCCAUACAAAAUGGUGUGGCUUUUUGUAGAAAAAGAGACAUAUAUACCUUCCAAUGAGGAUUAGUUUCAGAGUGAUUCGGCUAGCAACCUAAAGAUGGAUCGGACGAAUUGCUUGGUCUAAUUUGGAGGUAGGGUCAUUGCCUAGUAGUCCUACCUAACUAGGCUUACCACUCGGUUUUAAUAGUUCAAAAUCUACCAUUCGGUAUCCCUAUAAUUUAUUUUAUUUGUUUUACAGUUGCCUUUCCUUUUUUUUCUUUUUCUUUAAUAUUAUCUUCCACGUAAAACUAAACCCUUUCUUUCUCUCUCCCUCUCUUUGCCACUUCUGCUCGAUCCGUCAUAUUAUCACUGCUGCUUGGCUGCCUACAGCUUCCAUCCCACUGCAUCACCACUUGCCCACCAUCUGGUUCGCACUUCCUCCGCUGUUGGUAUAUCUCAUUUUUUUCCUCCUCUGCUUCUCUUGUUUCCUUUCCCUGGUUCUCCUUCACUUGCACCGCUCCCCCUCCUCUCCCUUUGGUUAGUGUUGACAAGAUGGUAUUGUCGGUAUGUACCGGGAUUGGUAUGAGUCUAGUAUAUAGAUUCAAAACCCGCAUUCUAGUUAUGGAGACAAGAAAAUUUUCCAAGAAACUGUAAAAAAAAUACAGUUGCUUUUAAUUUAGCUAGGAUUUUUCCUUAUAUGAUGCUCAGUAUCAGGAAAAUAUUCAAGUCACCGGCCUAAAUAGUUGGGACAUUGACAUCUUGUUCUUGUUGUUGUGAUAGAAGAUAUAAGCAAGUCCUUUAUAAAAUUAAUUUUGGAGGCUGAAAGUUAAAACUAGGGUGUGCGAUCAGUGAGCACAGUUCCAUCCUAGAAAGAGCAGCUGUGUAAAGUUUGAAUUUAUGAAAAAAAAAUUAUUUCAGUAAAGUAACAAGCUAGUUUUUAACAGGAUACUGGACUUUUUGUAGAAAAUUAAACAAAGCCCAGAACACUGGACAUUAGUCACAUUAUGCCCAUCCUAAUGAGAUUUUCCUUGCACUAAAGUAAUAAGCUAGUCUUUAAUAGGAUAUUCGACUUUCUGUAGAAGAUUAAACAAAGCCCAGAACAUUGGACAUUAGUGACAUUCUGUCUAUCCUAACAAGAUUUUCCUUACAAAUUCAAUCUUCAUGAUUUUGGAAAUGGUGUAUUGGUUUUGCAGCUGGCUGGCAUGGGAAGACAACUUUCAGAUUGCGUUUUUGAAUCAAAUAUUUAGGUUUACAUCAAUCUUUUACUCAUUGAAGGUGAGCUACCUCUUCUACAUUUCUUGAUUUACAAUUCGAUUAUGGAGAAUGUGAAACUUUGAUGAGGACCUAUAUGACAUUUGGAAUUACUUAUGCCUCUAGAAACUAGAACUGUCUUUAAGAGCUAUUCGUAAUUCUCCUAGCAUCCACACAUAAAUGAUGAACUUCUGGAACAGAUUGUGCAGAUUCUCAGGGGCAGUCCAAAUUUCGUUGUAGCAUUUGUUGCAAUUCCACUGGUCUGUUUUGUUCAUCCAGCACUUGGCCUGAUUGUAUUGCUUAUAUCUCAUGCUUUCCAGUGUCAUGCUGCUCUGUGCAGGUAUUUCUUUGAAGCAGCUCUCAAUACCUGUUUGAUCAAGUUGUUAUCAUCUUCAUUUUAGUGUUGCUUUUUCAUUCCUAAAACAUUAUAUUCCAUCCAUCAAUAACUGCAUCAGUUUUUGCUUAUUAACAACUUAUUCUACUUUCUUUGUUAAUGUAAUGUUUUUAUUACUUGCCCUUGCUUUCCUUUUAAUUUAUUUACUGUGGACAAUGCAGAAACUCAUUGUUAUUGGUGCAUUGUAAUUGCAUCUGUAACAAGUUCUAUUAGCUUCCCAAUUUCUAAGUUUUGUGUGUCAAUGGUGUAAAGGAGACUGUUGAUCUUGCUUUCUUAACUAUUUUACACAAGUGUACACUUAACCAAAGCUAAUGGGUACUUUUGAGAACUGGAUAGCUUUGUCCUGCUCAGUGCAUCAAUGCUCUGCUGCAACUUAAGUUUUUCUGUCUCAAAUUUGGUAGUGUUCUGCAAGUUACGACUUCGGUUGUUCUCUAACUUUAUGCUGUUUCAUUCUUCUAUGAAAUUACAGAACUAAUACAGGAUAAUUGUGAAAGAAAAGGAGCAUGUCACAACAUCUUACUAGUUGUUCCAAGUAGAAUAGGUGAAUUCAAAUAAUGAAGUCCUUGUUUAGGUAGGACGUAGGAGUACUAAAUUUUUUGAUCAACAAGCACCAAGAUCAUAACAUGAUAUGCAGUAAUUACUCCUUGUGAGUAAAUUUUUGGAACCUAGAACCAUUUAAAUGCCCAGAAUAACUAACUAGUAUGUUAGCUAAUAAAGUAAUGAGCUCUAGUAGAGGUCAUUCAGGUCAUUCUUUUCUUUCUUUGCAAUUUCAGGAAUUCCAGGUCUUCAUACUGCAUGCAAUAAAGCUUUGAGAGAGAAAAGAAAAAUGUCUACCCAAAUAAAGGUCUUUGGCCUUCCAAAGCUUUUUCACUAUGUACUUGAGUAUUUCCUCUAGUACGUCAUUAAUUCUCCUCUCUUAGUCCAUACUUAAUGAAAUGGUCUGAUGCUCAUACAUAUCCAUGUAGUAACAAGGUCAAGCUUUUUGUGUCCGUAAGAUUUUGUUCUCGAUUAUUUUGUUGACCUGAUAUCACCCUAAUUUUUUUUUUUUUUGCUUUAUUUUCAUUCUAACAAACCUGGACACAUCAAGGAACUUCAUGGUUAUAAGCCCCAAGCUGCUCUUUGGCCACCAAUUUUCGGCAUUUGUUAGAUAUUGUGUGAUUCAUUUACAAUCAGUUUUUGCCCCUCUUUAAAGUUGACAGAGAACAGAAAUAGCUAUUAAUUGAUAUUGUGGUUAGGUUGAAGAAAGCAAAAUAAAUUCUUAGACAAACACCUAUUUGGCAAGAGUUAAAGCAAGAUUUAGAAUGAGAUCCUCCUAGGGGUCCUGCAUCAAAGGUUCCAAAGCUGGUCCUCUUGUUAAAACUUCCUAGGAGCACGUAAAACUGGACUUGUAAAUAGAUUGGAUAUAAUCCAGUCAGAUCCAAAAUCUGAUCUGAUAUAGGUGGUUCUUGAUGGACAUUUUAAUACAAUGUUUCAAUCCACUUAUUCAAUUAUAAUCAGAUUGGAUACGACAUCAGCCCCAUCGUAUAAUAGAUCCAAUCAACUUAUUGUUUACGUGCACCAAAAUGAGUAGAUUGGAUAUUUCAUAAUUGUGUAAAGGAAGUGAGAUGUACGGUGGAAGGAAGAGACUAGAAUCAGGAAUAAAGCUCAAAGGAGGAAGAAAAAGAAUAACCGCGGCUAUAAGGAUAUGUCAUCUUUUACCCUAUCUUAGGAUAUGUCAGUAUUUUAUUGUUAAACCUACUUUUUAGAAUAAAAAAAAGUCUCAAAACCUCCCAUGCAAGAAAGAAUUUCUGUUGACAUUGACAUGUCCUCUAUUCUUUCGGUUUACAUUUGAUCAUCUUCUUAUAAUAAGUUCCUUGAUCUUUGUUACUUCCUUUGGAUAUACGACUACCAGUGGACAAAGUGUCUUUCCCAGAUUUAUUAAUUGUUUCAACUUCAUCUGUGGUUACACCUUCCAAAAAUAUUAAUUACUUAACAAAAAAAAGGGCAUUUCUUUUGUAUCAGUACCCCUAUUUUUGCCCACUAAGAUGAGUUUUAUUUGAUCUUUGAAGGAAGGAUAUUGCAUUUCUCUAUGUAUUGUUUGACUUUUCACUAUUAAGGUCUGAGUUUAUUUUUGUUCAACAUUAGCAAAAGUCCACCCAUGUGGAUUAGUGGAAUAUCAUGAUCUUUGAUAUCAUGUAGCUUUCUCGUUGAACACUUGAACACCUCAUUUCAUUUACUGUCUCGUGGACCCUUAUUCAUUUUCACUGAUAUUUCCUUUUUUAAUUCUCUCAAAUAGUUCUUUUUGUCUUUAUGACCUUUGAACACUCCAUUUCAUUUAUUAUUCCAUGGACCCUUAUUCAAUUUUACUGAUGUUUCUUUUUUUGUUUUUCAUUCUCUCAAAUAGUUCUUUUUGUCUUUAUGACCUUGCUAUCGUAUUGAUACUCUUUUAUAUGGUUUCUCUGGUUAUCAUUCUAAGAGUUUAUUUCAUUCUUGUAACAGUUUUUUGACGGCUUCUUUACGCAGCCAUGCUCAAAGAAGGGAAUUCUCUGGCUCAGGAACCAAUUGCAAGCCUUUUUUGCUAUCCAAAUGUGGAACAACUGAUGAUUUUGAUUCACUGCUUCCUGUCGAUGAAAUCUCUCCAACUAGCCCAAACACAGUGAAAAGCUUUGGUGACAGUCAACUAGAAUUUUUCAAUUACCAGCACAGCAUAUUGAUCUUGCAUCUUCUUGCUACACUGAUGUUUCUACCAUCACUAGUUGCCUGGUUGCAGGUAUGGGAUCUCAUAGUUCUUUUCUAGCUACUGAUAGGCAUCGUGAAAAAUUAACUGAGAAGGAUUGCCUACUUGAACUUACCAUUAUGCUAGCACAGCAGUGAGCUUUUCAUUUUUAACUCUUAAAAGUUUUGAAUUUGCCAGGACAUGCAUUGCAAUUUACAUGACAGACAUGUCAGGUUUCUUCUAGAUUGUUUUCUUCUGUGAAAAUUUCCGUGCAUUAAGCUUAAGUUGCAACACAUAAUAUAAAUCACCAAGAGUCCCUUAGUCUUUGCUGGGAAGCUACACCUAAUUAUCUAAUAAUAUAUAUUUUUUAAUGUUUUCUCUUAAUUCCACAUGUCUACCUCAACAUAUCUAUCUCAACGAUCCAUAAAGUAUUACUGAACUAAAAAUUUUCUUAUAUAUUUUUUCUUUCAAUUUAAAUUUUAAAGUACCCAAUGAUUAUACAAAACUCCUGAUGCCCUCUCCAUUUUAACUACCCAUUUUUACUCAUUGAAUAAUAAAUCUCUUCAUUUUGUUGAAUUACCAUUCCAAGAUAUCUAAAAUUUUAUUUAUCAAAAAAUAUUGUUCAUUUGACUUAAUUAUAUUCUUAGGUUUACUCCUUGUAUUAAUUACUAAGAUUGUAUAUCUCAUAUAUUCAGUCUUAGCUUUACAUAAUCUAUACCCUUUAGUUUCUUAGGAUUAUUUUUAUUACUCAAAGUAGAAUUAGUUUCAUGUAAGCGCUCAUCAAGUAAUACAAAUAUAUCAGCAAAUAAGAUACAUCAAGCAGAGGUCUAUCUUAUAUAUGACUAGAAAGUUCAUCCAUUUUUUAGCUUGUAUAUGUUUUUUAUUAACAAGAAUAGUCUCGUGGCUUCUCUUAUGCUAUUAUAAUGUUUUGUAGUUUAUACUUGCUUAUAUUUUUCAUCAUAUGAAGUUUCUUUUGGCUUGUCAAAGAUUUACUUGUUCUCUCCUGCAUCUCUUAUAUUUCUCAACAUUUGUUCCAGAGAAUUGGGAUGGGCCAGAGCUUCCCUUGGCUUAUCGAUUCUGUUCUAUGCAUGGGUGUCAUUCUGCAUGGUCUUUGUGGAUCGAGGCCAGAUGUGAACUCUAUUUAUUUGCCCUUACAGGGCAGUCAUGGUCGCGAAGUUGGCUUUGGCCUUGUGUAUUUUCUUGCUGGGUAUUUUACUUUCUUGAACACUCUUGUUUCGACCCCUUACAGAGCAUUCUACGCCAUGGCGGCUAUAGGAACCAUAUCUUGCAUUUUGAAGAGUAUUGAUAAAAGGAAUAGAGAAAGAGGAGACAUUCAUUCUAGAAGUAGGCGGAGACAUUCUCAUAAACACUAACUACCGACUUCCCAAUGGUUUGAAAGAAGUAUCAUAUGGUGCGUGCAUGUUAGUUGCUUUCUGGAUGGUUGUCUGCGGUACAACUUACAGAACAACUAGCUGCCAUGGUCAUGACACUGUAUGAGCUACAAUUCCUCCAGUUUUGAUGUGGGACAAGAAAGAAGCAGCAUUGUUUUUCUUUUUCUAAAUUUUGGGAAGAACAUCCAUCCAUUCCCAAAGUAAGAAAUUAUCACAUGUAAUUUGCUGCAUUUUCAAAGCAAAUUCGAAUGCACCAUUUUUAUAGGCUUUAUAUGCCAGUUAAGUAAUGGAACUUGCUCCAGUCAAUUUAUUGGUAAGCUUUUUGUUUGUAUGUGGUACUGAGAUCCGUUGUUGCAAAAUGUAAUGCUUUUUAAAACCCUUUGCUGUGGUCCCUCCAAAGUGCUUGACAAAUUCUUUACUGAGUCCAGAAUUUUCCAUGUUACCACGUUCAGUAUUGCUUUUGUAGUCUUUCUCGCCUUGAGCUUUCUUCAAUCGAAGUAUGAUUUGCUUAAUGAAGUUUUGUUUUCCUCCUUUUUUUAUGCUGUCUCCUGCCCGUUAAUAAGGUGCAAAUCUUGCAAUGCUUACUCAUUUUAUAGUUCUUAAGAGGAAAACCGUGCAAAGGCAGGCAGGUGCCAAAUUCUUUGUAUAAGUGCAAUUAGUCAGAUGCAUCCUUCUUCAGGUAACUGAAACUAAAUGGUCUCCAAAAGCUACAUCUCUUGUUUUCUCCUUUUUUUUAUUUUUAUUUUUAGCUAUGCAAAAUGAACAUGAUCCAAUGCAAAACCCAUCACCUUAUAUAUUUAAAGCAGGGGUAUGUAUUGAUCUAUCGGAUAGAUCUAGACAUGGAUCGUCCUAUACCUAUAAAGGUACUUAACGUCCAAAGAAGAUAAGUCCAUUAUCCUUUUCUUAUUUAAUUUUGUUUAUUAAAAUGAAACAAUUUAUAUUAGGGCUAAUCAAAAGGCUCUAAUUUAGGUUUUUUAUUUUCGGAAAAUUUUUUGAUUAUUUUUUUUUAUAGAUUUUUUGGCAUGCACCUAUGUACUAAUAAUAUGAUACAUCUUCCAACUUAAAGCAACUUGCAGAUUAAGGUAUCUCGAUAUUGGACACUUUCUGCCACAAUUAAUUGUUCCUCUCUUUUUCGUUGCGUCUUAUUAUGAUGCAUAAUUAAGAGAUUUGAUACACCGCAAACGCUAUAAAUAUAUGAUUCAAAUAUGGGUCAUGCUUUUAAGACGUAGCAUAAUGUCAUAUAAUAUGUUGAGCCGGCUUACUUUAUAAAAUAAUUCUUUAACCAAUUUGUAUUUUCUUAUAAGUAAUAUAUAAAGACUGCAUUAUACACGAACCUUUUAAUAUUGUCUACUUCUUUAAAGCGAUAAUAUACAAAUAAGAAAAUUAGUUAUAAUUUUUUUAGAGAAAUAUAUUUUUAUUCUUUUACAUCGUGGGUCGUACGAACGAACUCAACCAACCAAAGUCUGACAUGUAUUGGGCAAAAAGCGAGCGGUCUACAGUUACGACACCGUCAAAAGUAGUCAAUCGGAUUCAACCCUGGAAGACCUAAUUGGACGACACGCGUUGUUCCACCUAUUGGACGCAAUAAAUCCUCCCUCGGUCGGUCGAUUGGAUACAAAAGGGCGAGGAUGACUUCGCGGGAAGCCGGGGCGAGAUAGACUGUUACAGGUAUGGAUUCAUGCCCGAAUUCUUGAAUUAGGGAUUGUGCUUCUAGAUUUGCUACAAGCAUCCGAAGAGCGCGGUGGGGAAUUCCCAUUUCCUAAUUCGCUCUCUCUCUCUCUCUCUCUCACGUGUAUGCCUUGCGUCGAUCUUCGAGGACUCCACGUGGGCUUUCGAUGCGAGACGGUCCUUUUUUGUGUACAUUAAUUCAGUCGUAGCGAGAUUUCGAUGCGUAAAACGGUGACGGUAGAUGAUCCACCUCGUUCCCAUCUUUCUCAUGAUUACCAAAAACAUUUCUCAUUCCAAUUCCAACUCGACGCUGCCUUGUGUGGUUCCGCUUUAUUCUCGCCCCAUUGUCUUUUUUUCCCCGGAUAUCGGAUGCGAAGGCAGGCAAAUUAGGGUUCUAGAGUCCCCCAAUUACUGUUUCAUUUUGAUCGUCUCAUUAAGAUUCCAAUUACUUUUUUUUUUUAUUCAACUGCUAAAAAUUUGGAUUUCCCUCCCCUCUAUUCAUGUGAGAUCUUUCUGUCGCUAUAUCUUGUUUAUUCUAUCCAUUCGUCUUUAUGCUUGGAAUCCAAUUUGUUGUACGUAAUCGAUUAGUGGUUGGGUUGAAUUGUUAUUCCUUCCUGCAUAUUCUUUAAAAUGAAGCUUUUUGUUCACGUCAUUGAGGCCCGUGGUCUUCCUGUAAUGAAUAUGAAUGGGUCAUGUGAUCCCUAUGUGAGAUUGCAGCUUGGCGGUCGUAGGGCGAAAACUAAGGUCAUCAAAAAGAACUUGAACCCUUUUUGGGAUGAAAAGUUCAGCUUCCUUGUCGGGGAACUCAGUGAAGAGCUUACUGUCUCAGUUCUCAACGAAGAUAAGUACUUUAAUAAUGAUUUCUUGGGGAAGGUGAAGGUGUCAUUGUUGAAGGUCUUGGACGCUGAAAACCUAUCCCUGGGGACGGCCUGGUACCAGCUGCAACCCAAGAAUAAGAAGUCGAAGAACAAAAAAAGGGGUAAUAUGCCGAUUAUCCUUCUCUGUUCUAUGGAUGUUAUUCUCUAGCUGGAAUUAUUUCAGUUUAGUUAGCUCCAGCUUUCCCUCUCCUGAUCAUGUCUCUCCUCCCUUUCUUGGCUUACAUAUGGAUUCUCUGGUUCCUGGUUCAGGUUCCAACAUGUGGGGCCCUGGAUAUUAGUUCUUUUUCACUCGUUUAGUUGUAUGAAUUUAGUUUCUUAAAAUGCUCAGAUGUUCUUGAUAGCUUGUAACAGUGUCAAGUCUCUAUAUCGUAGAUGAAUGAAAAGAGGCAAAUAUUAGGCGACCAAAGUUGUAAAUGAUAUAUAGUGAAAAUGGAUCAUGAAAUGGUUUUUGUGAAUUCCAGAUACAAAUGUUCUUUCUUUACUGAAUACCUAUAACUGUACUAGUUGUUAUUGCACAUGUUUAGUCAAACAUAUGCAUUUAUUAAUCAAGUAACUAUUAUCUGUUUAUCUUGCAUUUAAAAUGAAACAAUUGUAGAUCAACAAUUAAAAAAUGAUCUCCAUUUACAGUUUCAAUCGGUAAAUUAGAUUUAGUUUUAGCAAGUUCAGCAGCACAUGCUCCAGCUUUGGUUGUUUUGUUAGAAGAAAAAUAAUAGAACAGGGGAAGGAUAACCCGACACAUGCAGAUGUUAGUGUCUGGUAGUUCUCUAAUCUUCAUUGUAUUGAUAAGAUUAAGUGUAUAAAUGGUGUCAUUUAAGCUUUCCUGGCUCAUCUCAAAACAUAAUGAUUUUCACUCGAUGUCCUUACGAUCAGAUAGAAAUUUGUACCAUGACGUAGUUCUUUUAGCACAGGCAUAUGCAAUAUUUAAUGGUACUAAAUAUUUAAUUUGUCCCACUUGUAGGGGAAAUUUGUCUCACCAUACAAUUGUCCCCUAGAAAUACUAUCUUGGAUGAAUCUUCUAUUGUCUCACAAGCACCUUCUGGUGAUCUUGCAUCAAGUUCAGAGACCUCCCAACUGAUGAGGGAAGCGCCUUUGUGUACUUCUGGUGGCAAAAUUGAUUCAUCUUCUUUGAUGGAUCUUGAAGAAACUAGAGCUACCAAGGAAAAUAAGUCAAACACAACAUCUUUUGUUGAGCUAUUGUCUCAGAUGUUCCGUGGGAAGAAUGCAGAAUCUGUUCCUUUAGCUGAAAAUAGGGACCUUGAUUCCUUAGAACAGUCAGAAGGGACAUCUACGAAAGCGGAUGUAUGUGCUGACUCAGCUGACAAUGUACCAUGUGAGAACAAAUUCGAGGAACUACUGGAAACUAUGGCCUCAAAAUGUCUCGGGUCUGAUAUGCCUGGGCAUCUACCUGGUGGAAUAUUACUUGAUCAAUCUUACGCUAUUGCACCAGGUGAUCUGAACUCCCUUCUUUUUUCACCAGAUUCAAAUGUUAGGAAAUCUUUUGCAGNNNNNNNNNNNNNNNNNNNNAUCUGUUUUUUCAUUUGCCUUGUGCAUAAGAUUUUCUCAGCUGCUAUGAGCAAACUAUCUUAUCGUAUGAUGCAGGGACACCAGGUCGAAGGGUCCAGCUUCCAUACUCUGAUCUCUCAUUGCCCUGCACUAAAUAUCAGCCAUUUCAACAUGCGCAAACUAAAUUGGGAGCUCGGCGACUACGUUCUGGCGCACUGAUAUGUGCUGCAGCCUUGGUGUGUUACUUAUAACCGUCAUGAAAUUAUACUUGUGCAUGAUAAGGUUUCAUAAAUUAAUGCCGUUAGUAUGUGAUUAUUGGCUCUAAGGC